AUAUUCUGGUUUAUUCUUCAAAUUGAAUAAAUCUUUCACUUUUUACUAAAGAUGUCUGUGAAGAGGAAACACUUUUGAGUUUGUAGUCAACUUUUUGAGACCUUGUGUUUGCAGGGUU
Choloepus hoffmanni (Hoffmann's two-fingered sloth) is the source of this 118-nucleotide small nuclear RNA. Its record names the gene U5. It matches the Rfam family "U5 spliceosomal RNA". From Rfam's summary of the family: U5 RNA is a component of both types of known spliceosome. The precise function of this molecule is unknown, though it is known that the 5' loop is required for splice site selection and p220 binding, and that both the 3' stem-loop and the Sm site are important for Sm protein binding and cap methylation. The record is from Ensembl. Lineage: Eukaryota; Metazoa; Chordata; Mammalia; Pilosa; Megalonychidae.